ACAAAAUACUGGUGUAAAGUACUACAACAAUAUAUUCAUACAGUCUAAUGGACGCUGGAGUUAAAUUUUUGACCAGACUUUUAUUAAAAUAGCUUAAUCUUUCUCCCUAAACACCAUCAAUUUUGAUUGUGCAGUGGAAUGGAUGUAAGAGUACCACACAUACAUGCAUACCAUACCACCCCCCCCCAAAAAAAAAUCAAUAAAUAAAUAUAACAAAUUAUAUAGAAGUAAAAAUAAACCGCC
This 243-nucleotide long non-coding RNA is filed under the name Mytilus galloprovincialis (Mediterranean mussel). Lineage: Eukaryota; Metazoa; Mollusca; Bivalvia; Mytilida; Mytilidae. The record is from RNAcentral.